Molecule: ribosomal RNA, 582 nt
Filed under: uncultured bacterium
Lineage: Bacteria
Description: bacterial SSU rRNA
Rfam family: Bacterial small subunit ribosomal RNA
Source: RNAcentral
GCCGAGACGGCGCGGGAUGGGGUCGCGGCCCAUUAGGUAGACGGCGGGGUAACGGCCCACCGUGCCCGCGAUGGGUAGCCGGACUGAGAGGUCGACCGGCCACAUUGGGACUGAGAUACGGCCCAGACUCCUACGGGAGGCAGCAGUGGGGAAUUUUGCGCAAUGGGGGGAACCCUGACGCAGCAACGCCGCGUGCGGGACGAAGGCCCUCGGGUUGUAAACCGCUUUCAGCAGGGAAGAUCCAAGACGGUACCUGCAGAAGAAGCUCCGGCUAACUACGUGCCAGCAGCCGCGGUAAUACGUAGGGGGCGAGCGUUAUCCGGAUUCAUUGGGCGUAAAGCGCGCGUAGGCGGCCGCCUAAGCGGGACCUCUAACCCCGGGGCUCAACCCCGGGCCGGGUCCCGGACUGGGCGGCUCGAGUGCGGUAGAGGAGAGCGGAAUUCCCGGUGUAGCGGUGGAAUGCGCAGAUAUCGGGAAGAACACCGAUGGCGAAGGCAGCUCUCUGGGCCGUCACUGACGCUGAGGCGCGAAAGCUGGGGGAGCGAACAGGAUUAGAUACCCUGGUAGUCCCAGCCGUAAACG